AGCGCAGGCGGGAAGGCAAGUUGGAAGUGAAAUCCAUGGGCUCAACCCAUGAACUGCUUUCAAAACUGUUUUUCUUGAGUAGUGCAGAGGUAGGCGGAAUUCCCGGUGUAGCGGUGCAAUGCGUAGAUAUCGGGAGGAACACCAGUGGCGAAGGCGGCCUACUGGGCACCAACUGACGCUGAGGCUCGAAAGUGUGGGUAGCAAACA
This 207-nucleotide ribosomal RNA is filed under the name uncultured bacterium. Its description in RNAcentral is "partial 16S ribosomal RNA". It matches the Rfam family "Bacterial small subunit ribosomal RNA", at positions 568 to 774 of the family's 1533-position model. The record is from RNAcentral.